Molecule: ribosomal RNA, 251 nt
Filed under: uncultured prokaryote
Description: partial 16S rRNA
Rfam family: Bacterial small subunit ribosomal RNA
Source: RNAcentral
ACGGAGGGUGCAAGCGUUAUUCGGAAUUACUGGGCGUAAAGCGCGUGUAGGCGGUCCUGCAAGUCUGAUGUGAAAGCCCCGGGCUUAACCCGGGAAGUGCAUUGGAAACUGCAGGUCUUGAGUACUGGAGAGGAUGGGGGAAUUCCCGGUGGGGGGGUGUCUGGGGGAGAGGUCGGGAGGAAGAUCAGAAGCGAGGGCGGCAAACAGGAUUGUAACCGCCGCUGUGACGUCAAAGCGUGGGGAGGGAAGGG